GACGAACGCUGGCGGCGUGCUUAACACAUGCAAGUCGAACGAUGAAGCCUUAGCUUGCUUUGGUGGAUUAGUGGCGAACGGGUGAGUAACACGUGAGCAACGUGCCCAGGACUCUGGAAUAACCGCGGGAAACCGUGGCUAAUACCGGAUAGGUGCCGAGGCCGCAUGGUCUUCGGUUGGAAAGUUUUUGCGGUUCUUGAUCGGCUCACGGCCUAUCAGCUUGUUGGUGGGGUAAUGGCCUACCAAGGCGACGACGGGUAGCCGGCCUGAGAGGGUGACCGGCCACACUGGGACUGAGAAACGGCCCAGACUCCUACGGGAGGCAGCAGUGGGGAAUAUUGCACAAUGGGCGCAAGCCUGAUGCAGCAACGCCGCGUGGGGGAUGACGGCCUUCGGGUUGUAAACCUCUUUUAGUAGGGAAGAAGCGCAAGUGACGGUACCUGCAGAAAAAGCACCGGCUAACUACGUG
Molecule: ribosomal RNA, 469 nt
Filed under: uncultured bacterium
Lineage: Bacteria
Description: partial 16S ribosomal RNA
Rfam family: Bacterial small subunit ribosomal RNA
Source: RNAcentral